RNAcentral lists this ribosomal RNA (492 nucleotides) under uncultured bacterium. Its description in RNAcentral is "partial 16S ribosomal RNA". It matches the Rfam family "Bacterial small subunit ribosomal RNA", at positions 29 to 507 of the family's 1533-position model. The record is from RNAcentral.
AUUGAACGCUGGCGGCAUGCUUUACACAUGCAAGUCGAACGGUAACAGGCCUUCGGGUGCUGACGAGUGGCGAACGGGUGAGUAAUGCAUCGGAACGUGCCCAGAGGUGGGGGAUAACGCAGCGAAAGCUGUGCUAAUACCGCAUGUGAUCUGAGGAUGAAAGCGGGGGACCAGGCAGCAAUGUUUGGCCUCGCGCCUUUGGAGCGGCCGAUGUCAGAUUAGGUAGUUGGUGGGGUAAAGGCCUACCAAGCCGACGAUCUGUAGCUGGUCUGAGAGGACGACCAGACACACUGGGACUGAGACACGGCCCAGACUCCUACGGGAGGCAGCAGUGGGGAAUUUUGGACAAUGGGCGCAAGCCUGAUCCAGCAAUGCCGCGUGCGGGAAGAAGGCCUUCGGGUUGUAAACCGCUUUUGUACGGAACGAAAAGGCUCUGGCUAAUACCUGGGGCUGAUGACGGUACCGGAAGAAUAAGCACCGGCUAACUACGUG